RNAcentral lists this small RNA (127 nucleotides) under Escherichia coli. Its description in RNAcentral is "RtT sRNA". It matches the Rfam family "RtT RNA", at positions 48 to 130 of the family's 130-position model. Rfam says of the family: This family represents a bacterial cis-regulatory element known as RtT RNA. The exact function of RtT is unknown although it is thought that it may be involved in changing the cellular response in relation to amino acid starvation. The record is from RNAcentral. Lineage: Bacteria; Pseudomonadati; Pseudomonadota; Gammaproteobacteria; Enterobacterales; Enterobacteriaceae. RNAcentral also lists the same sequence under 2 other names.
GAGAGCGUCAGCGAGAGAGCGUCAGCGAGAGAGCGUCAGCGAGAGAGCGUCAGCGAGAGAGCGUUGCCGCAGGCAACGACCCGAAGGGCGAAGCGCGCAGCGCUGAGUAAUCCUUCCCCCACCACCA